CCACCCCCUGCUCCUCCAGCAGUAACGGCACUCUGUAGAUGGAUGACACGUCCUGCACACAGAUUACCUGCGACAUGACAGCACAUUGAGGACUACAAUGACGUAUGAUGAAAGCCCUUUGGAUGACAUUUUGUGCUUUCGGAGGCUGAGCGCUCUCUCUGCAGCGCUGCUUAGGGUUCAUGCAUCUAACUGGAGGAGCUGCUGGAGAUGAGUUUCCUGAAUGUCUGGUCCAUGGAAGAACUGAUCUCACACGCCGGGCUGAAGAGACCGAGGUCCAAAGUUCUCUGAUGUCGUCUGGAGCCAGGCCAUGGAUUUCCUUAAAGGUUUUGUGUUGGUGCGCGUAUGAAUCCUCGGCCCUGGGUGUAUUGAAUAUCAUCAUCACUGACUAAAUCCGACAGUGACUGACAGCAGCUCAGACGCGACGUACUGUACUGUACAGGCUCUCCACAGUCAGACAGAUUCAGAGUUUGAACCCAUCAGAGGUGGAGAAGAACAGACCGACCACCUGCUGCCUCUUUGAGCUGACCUGACGUCUGCCACCGACAGAUGAUGAGGCAGAGGCUUCGUUGCUCGAGGGCUCUCAGAAAGCACAGAAUGGCUCCAGAAGAAAGAAAGGAGGGACUGUCUGAGACCGCUGGUCUUGACAGGGCUUUCAUUGAGCAGCAUCUGCUCUGUCACUGCUGUCUGUGUCCAGUUUGACUCAAUGGGCCGUCAUACUCAAGAGACCCUCACAGGAAAACAGGCCUUUGCUUUAUGAUUUUGCUAAUAAACGGUUUCAAAGGGUG
Solea senegalensis (Senegalese sole) is the source of this 785-nucleotide long non-coding RNA. RefSeq lists it as uncharacterized. The transcript has 5 exons. The record is from RefSeq and is a predicted model, not a curated record. Lineage: Eukaryota; Metazoa; Chordata; Actinopteri; Pleuronectiformes; Soleidae.